UGGGUGACACACCAGCAAGGUACAAAGAGU
RNAcentral lists this non-coding RNA (30 nucleotides) under Mus musculus (house mouse). Lineage: Eukaryota; Metazoa; Chordata; Mammalia; Rodentia; Muridae. The record is from RNAcentral.